AACGAACGCUGGCGGCAGGCUUAACACAUGCAAGUCGAGCGCCCCGCAAGGGGAGCGGCAGACGGGUGCGUAACGCGUGGGAACGUACCUUUUGGUUCGGAACAACUCCGGGAAACUGGAGCUAAUACCGGAUAAGCCCUAACGGGGAAAGAUUUAUCGCCGAAAGCUCGGCCCGCGUCUGAUUAGCUAGUUGGUGAGGUAACGGCUCACCAAGGCGACGAUCAGUAGCUGGUCUGAGAGGAUGAUCAGCCACACUGGGACUGAGACACGGCCCAGACUCCUACGGGAGGCAGCAGUGGGGAAUAUUGGACAAUGGGCGCAAGCCUGAUCCAGCCAUGCCGCGUGAGUGAUGAAGGCCUUAGGGUUAUAAAGCUCUUUUGUCCGGGAAGAUAAUGACUGUACCGGAAGAAUAAGCCCCGGCUAACUUCGUG
Molecule: ribosomal RNA, 431 nt
Filed under: uncultured bacterium
Lineage: Bacteria
Description: partial 16S ribosomal RNA
Rfam family: Bacterial small subunit ribosomal RNA
Source: RNAcentral